ACUACAUUGUUCUCCUCCUAUAAAGAGGUGCAGUGGUGACCAUGGACUCUGUGGAGAGACUGAUUAAGAAAGACAUGACUGAUCCGGUGUCUGGAGACAAGCUUAAAGACAGAGAUAUUAUUCCAAUACAAAGGGGUGGCACAGGAUUUGCUAGCAGUGGAGUCAAGUUGGAGGCUAAACAAGAUGGCCCAGUCAUGCAGGCAUAGUUGUAUCAACAUGUAGGACUCUCUUCUCAUCUCAAAGUCUGGAUAAUGUCACAAACUUUAUGGGUAUUGUGAAUUAAUUGGAAGAUGGCAGUACCUUUUUUUUAGCUUUUAUUCUGUCCUUGGUAUAUCCCACAUUGUGUGAAACAUAGCAAAGGGGGCAGGGGCACUGUCAGCACCAGGGACAUGUGAAACAGCAUAAGGGCACAACGUAACACACUCAGUACCAGGGACAGGGAAACUGGGGUAGCACCAAGGACUGGGAAGUACAGUCAGCACCAGGAAUAUGUAAAACACCACAAUGGACAGGGUAACACACUCAGUACCAAGGACAGGGAAACUAAACUGGUGUAACACCAAGGACAUGGAAACACAGUCAGGGACAGGGAAACACAAUCAGCACCAGGGACAGGGAAACAAAAUCAGCACAAGGGACAGGGAAACACAAUCAUCACCAGGGACAGGGAAACAAUCAGCACAAGGGACAGGGAAACACAGCUAUCUCCAUGGAUAGGGAAAUGACUAGCACUAGGGACAGGGAUACACACUCAGCACCAGGGACAAGGGAACACAAUCAGCACAAUGUGA
This is a long non-coding RNA of Branchiostoma floridae (Florida lancelet), 791 nucleotides long. RefSeq lists it as uncharacterized. The record is from RefSeq and is a predicted model, not a curated record. The transcript is spliced from 2 exons. NCBI's taxonomy places the organism in Eukaryota, Metazoa, Chordata, Leptocardii, Amphioxiformes, Branchiostomatidae.